GGCAGCAGGGGAACUGAGGAGCUCCAUUCAAGAGACAUGGCCCCUGCCUGUGUCACUUUGCGCUGUGUGAGCUCAUCUUCAGCACCACGCAUGUCUCUGUGUCUGGAUCUUUCUCUCUUACACAUACACUCUCCUGGGGGUCAGAGGAGUGGCUCACACACAGGAUCCCAUUUCUCUCAAGCGGUGACUUUCAUGACAGAUCAAAAGGACUGCUGGCUUGUUGUGAGAUUAAAAGAGAAAAUGCCUAUAAAGAGUGAAGCACAAUAACAAAAAUUUUUAAAAAAAAACAUCUAUAAAGAAUCAAUUUGGCACAAAUAAGCGUGUACCUUAUGAACUCCACCUUCAAGUUGGGCCCCAACCUUCUGGUAAUAACAAGCUCCUUUUCAGUGCCAAGUCUCAUGGUUGCUUCCCUCAAAGAGAAAUGGUGGGUGCUUACAAUCACCUGUGGGGGAGCACUGCUGCUCCCUUCUUGCUGCAAAUCCUCACCCUGCAUGAAGAGGGUCAGACUGGAGCUGGCUUGGGGGUCACUUGGGUGAUUAUUCUAAUUUACUCUGAAGUUUCCAUGAUAUUGGACUCCACUGGUUCUUUUCAAACCCCUCUGAUUUUCUCUGUUUCCUCACAGAUAUUUUUCUUUCAUUUUGUUGUGAAAUAUUAGGAUUCCCCAGGGUUCCAGAGUUGGCCCAUUGUUCUUCCUAGUCACCUAGUCUCCUAAAUGAUUUCAUUCCCUCUCAGCGUCUUGAUGAUUAUGCUCUAGGGACUCCCAGAGCUGGGCAAAUGAGAGCCAUGUGAAGCCUUCUUGGAUGGCUGUACCCAAUAGCCCUUGGACAUUUCAAAUUCCACUUACGAAAGACUAAACAUGGGAUGUGUUGCUCUCUCACAACUGUUCUGCCUCCUGCGUUCUUUCUCCCUCUAGAAAAAACAAUUACCCAAUGCAGAAACUUCUGAGAAAAUUCUAGUGAUAAUUCUUCAAUUGGAUUUGUACCAGUGAAUUUGGAUUUUGACUAGGAGGGGUAACUACAGAAUCUCGAGAUCACACUAGUCUUAUUUAAAUUAAUAAAUUAUUGUACUUAAGAGUUACCAAAGGUACAGUGAUGAAUGAAUCCAUGAGUAGCUCUCCCUAAGUACGGUAUAACCACUAUCAUCACCACCACCAUGUUUGGCUCUAUCAUGCCUGUUUUUUCUUCCAACCAAAGCUCUCAGCAGACUGGCAGUCAUAUUAUACAUUGAAAAUUCCUGAAUUGAGUAAUCUUGUUAAUAUACAGCUACACAAAAGUGCCAGCACCACAGAGUGCUUGUGCUUUUCUACGAAUACAAAAAUCAAACAACUGACUAUGUAGGUACAUAAUUAUAUUUUUAUUCUCCAGCGCUAAGAAAUAGGAAAAGAGGGAAAGGCUUGUGAGGUGGGGGAGGGGGGAAGUUUUCUCAAAAUAAAAAGGAAGGGAAGGGAUGGAUUAGGGGGAAAAGGUGAAAAAGUAUUAAUUCAUUUUCCACUUACACUAAUGAAAUCUAAUCACAGCUGACAACUAACUAUUGUGCUGUGGGUUUAUAAAGUCAGCUUCAAGGCUGCAUUCCUGAUUAAAUCAAGUACAAGCAGUCCUAAAGUCACUAAUGAUAAAGCAAGCCCCAAUAGUGUGUUAAAAUAUAAAAGGAUCCUCUUUCACAAAUCAAUGGAUUUCUAUUUAGUCAGAGCCUCCCACUCUGAAAAUACGUCAGUAAUCAUUCUUCUGUCCUUCUUGAUCUUUUGCUACUUUCUCCAAGGCCUGCAGUCAACUGUGGAGGGGGAACAAUGAAGUCUUUCAUGUGGAAGAAAAAAAGAGAGAGCUCCCUGUGUGCAAUGCUCUCUCUCCUUUUCUGUGUCACUGUGAACAUACUAAAAGAAACAAAAGGGAAGGAUCAACCCCCUUUCCAGUGGUCAAAAGGUAUUUUGGAAAUAAAGGAAG
Long non-coding RNA from Lutra lutra (Eurasian river otter), 1940 nucleotides. RefSeq lists it as uncharacterized. The transcript is spliced from 3 exons. Lineage: Eukaryota; Metazoa; Chordata; Mammalia; Carnivora; Mustelidae. The record is from RefSeq and is a predicted model, not a curated record.